GAGCUGGCUAUGUGUGACAUCUAUCAACCCAUUGACUGAGGGUUGAUUCAGCUGAUCUGGUUGGUUAGAUAAGUGUUCCCUCCCU
Molecule: unclassified non-coding RNA, 85 nt
Organism: Cricetulus griseus (Chinese hamster)
Lineage: Eukaryota; Metazoa; Chordata; Mammalia; Rodentia; Cricetidae
Gene: 7SK
Rfam family: 7SK RNA
About the family: 7SK was discovered as an abundant small nuclear RNA in the mid-70s but a possible function has only recently been suggested.
Source: Ensembl